ACAACCCUCAGGCCCCCGGGCCUGGCGUUGGGGAUCGGCGAGGCGCCCCCUGCGGGCACACGCCGUCCCCCAAAUACAGUGGCGGUCCCGCCGCAGCUUCCAUUGCGUAGUAGCUAACACCUCGCAACUGGAGAGCGGCGCGGCCACGCCGUAAAACACCCAACUUCUGAAUGUUGA
RNAcentral lists this unclassified non-coding RNA (177 nucleotides) under Fusarium solani. RNAcentral's name for it is "ITS2". Lineage: Eukaryota; Fungi; Ascomycota; Sordariomycetes; Hypocreales; Nectriaceae. The record is from RNAcentral.